AUUGAACGCUGGCGGCAGGCUUAACACAUGCAAGUCGAACGAGUGGCGGACGGGUGAGUAAUGCUUGGGAAUCUGGCUUAUGGAGGGGGAUACCUACGGGAAACUGUAGCUAAUACCGCGUACCAUAGGAUGAGCCCCAGUGGGAUUAGGCAGCUGGUGCGGUAAAGGCUCACCAAGCCGACGAUCUCUAGCUGGUCUGAGAGGAUGACCAGCCACACUGGGACUGAGACACGGCCCAGACUCCUACGGGAGUCAGCAGUGGGGAAGAUGGCGCAAUGGGGGCAACCUGACGCAGCCAUGCCGCGUGAAUGAAGAAGGCAUUCGGGUUGUAAAGUUCUUUCGGUAGCGAGGCGUUAACUACAGAGGAAGCACCGGCUAACUCCGUGCCAGCAGCCGCGGUAAUUC
This 405-nucleotide ribosomal RNA is filed under the name uncultured bacterium. RNAcentral's name for it is "partial 16S ribosomal RNA". It matches the Rfam family "Bacterial small subunit ribosomal RNA", at positions 30 to 526 of the family's 1533-position model. The record is from RNAcentral.